This 292-nucleotide ribosomal RNA is filed under the name uncultured bacterium. RNAcentral's name for it is "partial 16S ribosomal RNA". It matches the Rfam family "Bacterial small subunit ribosomal RNA", at positions 505 to 796 of the family's 1533-position model. The record is from RNAcentral.
GUGCCAGCCGCCGCGGUAAUACGGAGGAUGCAAGCGUUAUCCGGAAUGAUUGGGCGUAAAGCGUCCGCAGGUGGUUAUACAAGUCUGCUGUCAAAGCGCAAGGCUCAACCUUGUAAAGGCAGUGGAAACUGUGUGACUAGAGAGUGAUAGGGGCAGAGGGAAUUCCCAGUGUAGCGGUGAAAUGCGUAGAGAUUGGGAAGAACACCGGUGGCGAAAGCGCUCUGCUGGGUCAUAUCUGACACUGAGGGACGAAAGCUAGGGGAGCGAAAGGGAUUAGAAACCCCCGUAGUCC